UAGGGAAUCUUCCACAAUGGGCGCAAGCCUGAUGGAGCAACACCGCGUGAGUGAAGAAGGUUUUCGGAUCGUAAAACUCUGUUGGUAGAGAAGAACGUUGGUGAGAGUGGAAAGCUCAUCAAGUGACGGUAACUACCCAGAAAGGGACGGCUAACUACGUUCCAG
This 165-nucleotide ribosomal RNA is filed under the name uncultured bacterium. RNAcentral's name for it is "partial 16S ribosomal RNA". It matches the Rfam family "Bacterial small subunit ribosomal RNA", at positions 355 to 511 of the family's 1533-position model. The record is from RNAcentral.